UAUUUAGUUCUAUAGUUCUAUAGUUAUGAACUGGGCUCAAAAUCAGUUCACCCAGCCCUCAUGAGCAACCAUACACCACAUACAUACGUGUCAAUGAUAUUUUUAAUAAACAACGAAAUCUUUUUUUUUUAAACGAAAUAAUUCAUUCCGAUGGAAAUAAAAUUUUGAGCCGAUUCGAACAAAAUUACUCAAUAAUUAGUUCAGACAGAAUUAUCCAAUUACCAGGACAGAAUUACCCAAUUACAAAAUUACCACUAACGAGUUACACAAUUACCCAACGAAAUCUUUUGUUCAACUUAAAUUUUUAUUUCGAUUUGUUAAAUCAUAGUGGAGUGAGGGAUACACGGCAAGCAUUUUGAUUUGUAUCCUACGUGCGAAAGAUUAACAUAAGAAUUCAUUUUUCUAGAGGCACGCAAAUCAUUUUGAAACAUUCCGAUUUGAUUGCGUUUCUAUUUUAUUGGUUAAUCGUGGACCGAUGCCUGAACAUGGAACCUAAAUAAGGAUCAGAUUCUAAAUUCAGAACAAAAGUAGAUCAGAUAUCAAAGCGGAUUUGGGACAAACCAGCUUGUCUGUAACUCUUAUUGUUUAAGGUGGUGUAUCUUGUAAGACAAUCUCAGUUUCUACUAAUCUAAUCCAAUUUGCGGAAGAAAAAAAAUCUCACACCUCAUCAAUCUCACCUUUAGCUAUUUCUUAAGGGCCAACAUAUCCAAUAAAAUAAAUAAAGCAUAUCCCUAGUCUCAACCAUUUAUUAUAUACAUUAUUAUGAAUAUUUUUGAUAUUGAUACCUUGUAAAUAGUACUCCUUUCUGCCGAUUACACAAGUUGUAACCGGGAAGAAUGGGAAACACGUAAGGUAAAAGGAUAUGUAAUUGUAGAUAUACAAAUAUGCUGACGUGAAGUAACAGAUAUAGUCAAAGUGGAAACUUGUCAAAUAAGCACGAUUUUUCUACACCUAGUUGUUACGAAUGAAAGAGCAAUUUCCCUACAAAAACUAUCAUCAAUAUUAUUAAAAUUAAAGUAUCUUUUAAAAUAACAUUUACUUCUUCAUAAUAAUUAUAAAUGUGUCACUGGCUUAAUAAUUAUUAAUUAAUUUAGUAUAAAUCAUUUAUUUUGUUAUAUUAUAUUCUGACCAAUUUACCAUUAUUUUCUAAUCAAGCUUACCAUAAUUAUUUAACUGGAAUUUUUUCUAUUAAAUUUUACAGUAAAAUUGAAUAGAUUUAUUUAAAUGUGACAUACAUAUUUUAAACAAAAAAAAAAGAUUACAAUACCCUAAGUUAGUUACCAUUUUCAAAAUUAUAAGUAAUCAAAAAUACCAUAACAUUUAGAUUUAGGAUUUAGUGAUUAUUUGUUUAAGGUCUAGUAUUUAAGAGUUGGGAUUAGGUUUAUAAACUUUUAUAAAUAUUUUAUACAUUAUUAUAAAAAUAUAAUUAUUUUAUAGAUUAUUUUUAAAAACAUCUAUAAAUUAUUUAAGAGAAUUAAUUUAAUAUUUUAAUCACAAAUUUAAGGUAUUUAUGAAAAUAGUUAUCAUAUAAGGGUAAAGUUGUAAAGUGAUAUCAAACUUGUGGUAAAUUUGAAAUAUCUCCCUUUCAAUAUUAUAUAUUCAUGUAUAUUAUUAUUUCAUUUCACAUACAAAAUAAAACUAUUCAUAUUUUAUUAAAAAUGUAAAUUUAUUUUUAAAAUAUAUGUUAAAUAAUUUUAAGAUUACUAUUAUUCACACAUAUAUAUAUUUGAAUGAUAAGAAUGCAAUUGUUAAAUUUUAAUUAAUAUUUUCGACAAAAAUAAACAUAGAAAAAAAUUAUUUGGCUUAUAAAAAAAAUUAGAGACAUAUCCGUAUAUUUUAUUAAAACAUGAAUGGAUUUUAUUUGACACAAAAUAUUUUAUUCUAGAAAGAUAGAUUUAUUAAUAUACAUAAAUAUACUAAUUGGUGUUUUAAUUUUUAAAGAAAUACACAGAAAAUGAUUAAUGUAAUUAAAAAUUACUAAUUUACGAAUAUGUUAUAUAACAUAUCAUUUUGUUUGGUUUAGUAUCCAACCACAAUAUGAACAACCAACAAAUUACCGACAAUUAAAAAUCUCGAUCUAUCAUAAACUUUAUAUACUAUAAAUCGAAAAUAAACACCAUAUGGAUGUAUGUCUGUACAACUAUUAAAAUAAACACAUAUGUGCACGGAUCAAGCUCUAGUAUAAUAUUGAAUAUCUUCCAAACUAUGACCGCGUCUUAUAUAUUUUUAAAUUUUAAGUUCAAAAACUGUAUCCCUACGUAUUGAAAGUUCAAAACUCCAACUCUCAAAAAUGAAGUUUCAAACUCCAAAGCCCAUAAACCUUAAUUACAUUGGUUUAAAGAUAGUUUAAUGUUUUUUAAUCACACCAUAAAUCUUACUCUCUCCGUUUUUGAAUAAGUGUCACUUUGAAAGUAACGCAAAUAUAUGUAGAUUGUUAUUUAAUUAUAUUUUCUGACCAAUAACAUUUAGAAUAAAUAAAAUUAUUUAUAAAAUUAUUGCAGUUUGCAAUUAAUUUUCAGCUGAAAGUAAAUAUAAUUUGCAUUGGAAUUGUAAAAUGACAUUUUUUGUGUAACAAGAAAAAAAACUAGAAUCACACUUAUUAUAAAAUAGAGGGAGUAUAAAUUAUUGUUCGAAGCGGUGAGGCUUUGGCCUUGUAUCGAGUGGUGUAAUCUCAAUACUCCGAUGAUUAAAUGAAGUUGUGUUUCAAAAAAAAAUCAUCUUCAAAUCAAUGUAGUUAAAGUUUAUAGGUUUUAGAGUUUCGACUUCGAGCUUUAAUUUUGGAGAGUUUGGAAUUUUGAAUUUUCAUUCUCCAUGAAUACAGAUUUCCAACUUUAAAUUCGUAGGUAUUUAGAAUGUAAUUAUAAUUUAGAAAACAUAUGACUAUUUAGGUAUUUAGUUUACGCGGAAAGAAAUAGUUUGUAUACUCUUUUUCAUCACAUGACUAUUCAAUAUUCGACUAAUUAUUUUGGUAAGAAUAUUAAACUAAUUUUUAAAAGACUGAAAAGGUCCACAUCAUUGUGUAUCGCUUUGGAAUUGGUCUCCAUUAAUACAUAGUUAUUAACUAGUACACACCAAACAAUGCAUUCACUUCACAAUUCGUUUUAUACUUUUAUGAAACAAAUUUUGCGUAAGUUCCAACAAGAAGAAAAUAGUAAUAACAUAGUAUCAGCAAAUGGAGUUUUUCCAUAAAGCUAAAGCCGUUAGGAUGCGUAACAUACACGAGAAGUAUCUAAUGGCGGAAGAGGACGUGGAGUCGGUGACUCAAGAAAGGAAUGGUUCCGAUAAAAGAGCUCGAUGGACCGUCGAACCUGUUCGUGGUUCCUUUGAAGCGAUCCGUUUGAAGAGUUGCUACGGUAGCUACCUCACCGCUUCGAACGAGCGGUUUUUGCUCGGUGCCACGGGUCGUAAGGUGGUAUUGUCGAAGCUGAGUGGAAUUGACUCAUCCGUAGAGUGGGAGCCGGUGAGAGAAGGAUCAAAAGUAAAGCUCAAGACUAGACACGGUCACUUCCUCCGAGGCAAUGGUGGACUUCCUCCGUGGCGUGACUCAGUCACUCAUGACUCUCGUCGUAGCUCGGACUCGUUCUUGUGGGAUGUUGAUGUUGUCGAAACUACGUCUCUGGCUCUAGUUCCGGUUGCAACUCCUCCGCUACAUAGGAGGCAGUCAAGUCCUCCGAUGUCUAGGACCUCUUCAGAAAAUUCUGAGCAAGAGUUAACUAACUCGCCGCCGAAAUCUGAAGGGUGGAACCGUGUUCGCAGGCACUAAGGGAAGAGACUAGCAUUGGACAUGGAUGAUGCUGUUGUGUGUAUAUGCAAUCCCUUAAACGAUAAGCUGUUUCUUCUUCGUAUGCAGUUUCCGCCAAAUAGCAAAACAAUGCAUGUCGUUUUAGUAGCUUCAUUUACUUCUUAAAUGGUAUGCUGUGUGUGUUUUGAAAUAGUGAUCGAUGUAUUAGCACAAGUUUGGGAUAUGGUGUUGACAGAAGGUAUGAUUGGUCCUCGGUUCCGUUAUAUAAGAGUGUAAACUAUGCAGUAUAUAAAUAGAUUAUUAUUGUGGGUACUAAUCUUGCAAUUUAUUGUACAUCAUUUAUUUUGUAAACAUAUCAUUUAAGUUUUAUAUGUGAACAUUUGCCAUCAAGAAUGAUGUUUGUUACUAGAAGAUUUUUUAAAUCAAUUAUUAAAGACUUAAAAAUGCUCAAGCAUAAUUGCGCAAGUCUUCACCAACUCUUCUACUACUUUGUUCUUUUUUUCCUAUACUAAAUUGUUUUUCUAUCAAACGCUUGUCGAAGAAUCUUUUUCUUUAGGUUCAACUUUCAUUAACCAAAUUGUGAAUACAAAGAUUUUAACCUCAUUGAGAUUUAAAUUCCACGUACAACGCCGAGAUAUAGUAUCACCGAGGAAUACUUAGAAAGAUAAUACGCUACCCAAUCGAGACGAUGUUGUAUUUUUCACCACAACGAGACGAAUUCACCUCACGAUCUAAUAUGAACCGACUCUUGAACCACCUAAAUUCUACCACUAAAACAAGAUUACAAAACAAUUCCUAUGCCAAUGAGAUAUCCUAAUUAAGAGGAAUGUGAAGAGCCCGAGCCGUAGGAACCAAAAGAAUUGAAUGUAGUGCCUGACCAUCCGCAUUAACACCGUAAUGGUGCAUACUCCCAACUAGAGGAUCCUGAAUGACAAGGAAUAAACACACUUUGGAACCUUGUCGGGGCUAACGUCUCAGCAACAACCAAAACAGCGACCGAACAAGCCCAAAAGUUGGGCCGAGACUUCUAAACACCCACAAUCCAGCACCUCCCAUAAGAAGAAGAAGAAGAAGAAGCAAAUCUGUCGGGUUUGACACUUCAACGGCACCGCAAAUGGUUUACUUCAAAACAUGUAGUCACCAAGUCCCGAUCUUUCCCGAUGACCAGUCGAAGAAAAGUACGGUCUUGACACGCCCUGUAUCCGAGAACCGAAAGCCAGCUUCUGUUUUGAACGCCUUCACGCUGGUAACAUAACUGCGCUUGUCCAAACUGAAUCUCCUUCCAUCCUACGAUUGGUGUGGCCAUAGAUGACCUAACACAAUUGUGGGUGUCUCAAGAAACACAUGAAAUCGGAGCUAAAAAAAAAGUUGAGGUGCUAAGUUUGAGUCUUAGCAGUUUCGGGAAAGGGAUUAAACAACUGGUAUGAAAUUAAUUAUGUACUUACGGCCAAAACUUCUUGAUUUAAAAAAAAAAAUAUAUAUAUAUAUAUAUAUAUAUAA
Molecule: RNA transcript, 5242 nt
Organism: Brassica rapa (field mustard)
Lineage: Eukaryota; Viridiplantae; Streptophyta; Magnoliopsida; Brassicales; Brassicaceae
Source: RefSeq, a predicted model, not a curated record